AGCAGCAUGGUGUAGUGGUUUGAGCUCUGGACUAUGACUCUUGAGACCAGGGUUCAAAUCCUGGUCUGGCUA
Phrynosoma platyrhinos (Desert horned lizard) is the source of this 72-nucleotide non-coding RNA. NCBI's taxonomy places the organism in Eukaryota, Metazoa, Chordata, Lepidosauria, Squamata, Phrynosomatidae. The record is from the annotation of a GenBank genome assembly.